This is a long non-coding RNA of Oncorhynchus tshawytscha (Chinook salmon), 6868 nucleotides long. The record is from Ensembl. NCBI's taxonomy places the organism in Eukaryota, Metazoa, Chordata, Actinopteri, Salmoniformes, Salmonidae.
UUGAGAUUGUAGCAUAUCCUACUAACAUUUAAAUUUAGCCAAUUGAAGCUUAGCCUUGGCAACAUUACUAGUGGUUACAGUCGAAGAUUCAUCCUCUUACAACGGAGAGUUCGACCAGGCGUCUGACGCACAGUGACAGCAGAGGGGGGACCCUCAAGAGGAGAAGUGGGAGUCAGGUAUAAUAAGUGUAAUGGAUGAAGGGCAAUUCCAUGCUAACAGAAUGAUGCAGAGGCUCAAGUUUUCACAUUUAGAUGUAUGCCAAAGAAAAACCAUUGAUUGCAAAGUUAAACAAACCGUACAAAUCUAUACAAAAGGAGUACACUGAACAUAAAUAUAAACUCAACAUGUCAAGUGUUUGAUUCAUGAGCUGAAAUAAAAGAUCCCAGAAAUAUUCCAUGUGCACAAAAUGCUUAUUUCUCAGAAAUUGUGUGCACAAAUUUGAUUACAUCCCUGUUAGUGAGCAUUUCUCCUUUGCAAAGAUAAUCCAUCCACCAGACAGAUGUGGCAUAUCAAGAAGCUGAUUUAACAGCAUGCUCAUUACACAGGUGCACCUUGUGCUGGGAACAAUAGAAGGCCGCUCUAAAAUGUGCAGUUUUGUCACACAACACAAUGCCACAGAUGUCUCAAGUUUUGAGGGAGCGUGCAAUUGGCAUACUGAUUGAAGGAAUGCCCAUCAGUUGUUGAUCAACUUUGCUAGAUAAUUGAAUGUUCAUUUCUCAACCAUAAGCCCCCUCCAACGUUGUUUUAGACAUUUUGUCAGUACGUUCAACCAGCCUCACAACCGCAGACCACAUGUAUAGCGUUGUGUGGGUGAGUGGUUUUCUGAUGUCAAUGUUGAACAGAGUGCCCCAUGGUGAAGUUGUGGUUAUGGUAUGGGCAGGCAUAAGCUACCGACAACAAACACAAUUGUAUUUUAUCGAUUGUAAUACCGUGACGAGAUCCUGAGGUCCAUUGUCAUGCCAUUCAUCCCCCAUCAUCCCCUCAUGUUUCAGCAUGAUCAUGCACAGCCCCAUUUCACUGUAUACCUGUUGUAUUCGGAGCACGUGACAAAUCAACUUUGAUUUGAUGUCGCAAGGAUCUGUACAUGUCCCAGUUCUUCCAUGGCCUGCAUACUCAUAAGACAUGUCACCCAUUGAGCAUGUUUGGGAUGCUCUGGAUCGACGUGUACAACAGCGUGGACCAGUUCCCACAAAUAUCCGGCAACUUCGCACAGACCUUGAAGAGGAGUGGGAUAACAUUCCACAGGCCACAAUCAACAGCCUGAUGAACUCUAUGCGAAGGAGAUGUGUUGCGCUGCAUGAGGCAAAUAGUGGUCACACCAGAUACUGAGGGGUUUUCUGAUCCAUGCCCCUACCUUUUAAAGCUAUAUGUGACCAACUGAUGCAUAUCUGUAUUCUCAGUCAUGUGAAAUCCAUUACAUUAGGGUCUAAUUAAUUUAUUUUCAAUUGACUGAUUUGGCAUGGGUUCUCAGAUCCUCAAACAGUUCUACAGCUGCACCAUCAAGAGCAUCCUAACUGGUUGCAUCACUGCCUGGUAUGGCAACUGCUCGGCCCAGUACACCAAUGGGGCCAAGCUUCCUGCCAUCCAGGACCUCUAUACCAGGCAGUGUCAGAGGAAGGCCCUAAAAAUUGUCAAAGACUCCAGCCACCCUAGUCAUAGACUGUUCUCUCUGCUACUGCAUGGCAAGUGGUACCGGAGCCAAGUCUAGGUCCAAGAGGCUUCUUAACAUUUUCUUCCCCCAAGCCAUAAGACUAAUUUCAACUACUUCUCAACGUCCAUGGACCGGUGUCGGUCGGUGCUCAUUGGGUGAGUUCGCUGGUUACAGUAAAUUGAAAGAGAGGGGCCUCAUGGGUAGGUGUCAGUGAGAGGUGACAUUAACAGGAGAGUAGUGGUGCCUGGAGAAUUUAAUUAACAUUUUUUAAAUGUAACCUUUUAUUUCACUAGGUAAGUCAGUUAAGAACAAAUUCUUAUUUACAAUGAUGGCCUACCCCGGCCAAACCUGGACGAUGCUGGGCCAAUUGUGCGCCGUCCUAUGGGACUCCCAAUCACGGCCGGAUGUGAUACAGCCUGGAACCGAACCAGUGAAUGUAGUGACGUCUCUUGCGCCGAGAUACAGUGCCUUAGAACACUGGGUAGCUUUCAUUUGACACUAAAUUUGAUGUGCUCCUAUGAACUUCUCUGGAUAACUUCACUUCAUGGAUCCUUUUACAUGGAAAUGGCCUGAAGUUACUGGCAUAAUUAGGUUUGCGGCCCAAAUGCCACCCUAUUCCCCAUAGGGCUCUGGUCAAAAGUAGUGCACUAUAUAGGGAAUAGGGUGCCAUUUCGGACACUGGCCUACUAUGGUCUGUCAUUUAAACAUGAUUACUUCUGAUUCUAUCACUGUUAUUAAAUGUACGGAGUAUACUCAAACUUCUCAUAUAUUACUUGUUGAUGAGUCUUGUUUACCUUUUUCUUGGUCAUUUCAGCAGUCUGUGGAAGAUCAGGAACUGAUGGAACUCCCUGAGAUGAAUGACCUGCAGGCAAGCUACGACGAUGUGUUGCAGGAGCUGCGUGGGCUGGAGCUGCAGCGGGAGACUCUGUUGUUCCAGGUGGACGUUCUGCAGGACGCCCUGGAGGGGGCCGAGGAGAUGCUGGCUGAGGCCCAGAGAGAGGCCAGCCACGCCACCAUGGAGGUGGAGCGAGAGAGAGAGGCGAAGAGGAAGUUGGAGGACAUUGUCAGUUCUCUGAUGCAGGAGGUGGAGAGGCUAAAAGAGGAGAGGAACACCAUAUCAGCAGUCCCAGUGUACACACUUGUCAAGGAGCAGGAGAGGGAAGAUGAGAUGGCUAGACAACAAGCCACAGAGAUGCAAAUCAAAAAGGGAGCACAGGAACAAAUCAGGGAUGCACCAAGGUAUGAGGACAAUUCUCGCCAAGAUGCACCUCUCUCUAUUAUCCGAUUGGACAGUGAGGGCCCCGGGCCCAACAAUGGGCUAUCAUCUGAGACCAGCACUGGGGGGCUGCUCGCUUCCUUCUUCAAAAAGGGGAGGGGGGAGCAGCCUUCUGACAGUCUGACCCAGCCCUCUCCUAUCCACGUUGCCCAGCUGGUGUCCUCUGAGGACGUAGCAGAUGGGGCACAGGACAGCUUCACCAAGUUCACAAAGAUAGUCAACAAGACCUUUGGGCCGUUGUCACUCGGUAGCCAGACCCCCGGGAGAAAUCAGGAGGAGAACGGGCGUGACCUCUCCCCCGACAGGAACAAUGACACAGACAGCAUCAGCGCCUAUGAAGAUGCCUGCGCUGACAUGCCCGAGCUGGAAGAGGGUGACGGGCCAAGGCUGCCCCAUGAUGAAGGCUCCCCAGUAGAUGAUGAGGGAGAUCUGUCAAAUGGCAACGAACCCAAGAGCAUCAAAAACCCCAAUGAAUCUUGCAUUCUGUCGUAAGAGCUGCAGAACUGUUGUGCUACGAAGGAUCAAAUCUUCUCUGAGAUCACUGCUCUCGCUCCGUCCGCCUCUUGAUAAUGUAUGCCAUUUAGCAGACGCUUUUAUCCGAAGAGACUUACAUGCAUCCAUUUUUUUAUUAUGUCUUAUGUUCUUGGGCCUGUACUCUCCAGUUACACAUAUAGAAGGGUAGAGUCAAUCUUGGGAGUUGUUGCCAGGCAGUGUGGAAUUCCAGUCAUGUCUACAGACUACUCUAAAGCCAAUCUCUCUCCCUCCGCAUUGUUUGGCACGACCUGCAAGGUUGCACUUACACCCCCCCCCCCUGCUGUUCGGCACAAAAGGCAAAUGACCUCUCUGUUUCUUAGUGACUGAUAAUCACACAAGACUGUUUGCGUACACUGAACUAUCAGAUAUAUCAGACCUCUUGCAUUCUAAACGGGCAAACUAUGUGAUUCGUAGAUUAAGACGAUUAUAGUUGUUUUUAUGCUCUUAAGUUUAGACGCUGGCAAGAUUGUAAUCACAAUAGCAGGCAGCCAAGGAGCUAGCUACUAUAUAUUUGAAUAAUUCCAUUUAUGGGUAUAAAACCAUAAUGUUUUCACUGUCUCACUGGCCUUCACAGGGACAUUUCAUUUGAUCUUCAAGAAGGAUUUGGUGCCUUUCCUGGCUCACCUUAAUGCAUUUUAUGAAUAUGGAAUAUUAACUUGAAAGAUGUAAUACAUUUACUGAAUUUAAUCUAGCUUUAGUACGAUACUAGCAUGAUUGAAAAAGUAACGACAUUCCAUUUAAUAGUAAAACUUUAAGGAUACCUGAUAAUGUAUAUGUACAGUAACAGUACUGCAUGCUACUUGUCAGGUCAUGUUUGCACAGUCGCAGUGAAACUACUGAAUUGGUAGACCUUACAUGUUAUUUUGUAUCUGGCAUUGCUGGACAAUGUACCCUUUGUUUUUCUUCUCUCUACCCAUAACAUUAACAUAAAAUCUGAGGAUAAUCUUUUGACUUGGAAAGAGUUACAUAAACAUUGCUACCUAUUAAUCUUUUUAGGAGAUUUUUUCAUAGUCCCAAAAGGCACCUUAUUCCCUUUUUAGUGCAUUACUUUUGACCAGGGCAAUAUAAAGGGAAUAGGGUGUAAUUUGGGACGCAUACUUUAUCAACAUUCCUGUCCAUGUUUGACACUAGCGAGGUCAAAUGAAAUUGAUCUGUUUUCCAAUCCUUACCUUGUUGAACAUUUUCAACAGAUACUGCGUUUGUAAUGAACUUGGGGGCAAAUCUUACAAUGCCUUCAACACUAGGUUUUGUGUGUUAGACUUUGUGUAUCUCAAGUCAGAAUGCAGCUCUUGGUAGUAGGGGUUAAAUGGAUGUCAAGUUCGAAAGCACACUGAAACACACUGAAAUAAUUCCUAACUUUGAUACUUGUGAUGUGUUUUCUAUUCUGUUUCUAUUGCCUGAAUUUCUGUUUCUGCGGGAGAUAGUCUUCAGAAAGUAUUCACACACCUUGACCAUUUCCACAUUUGUUGUUACAAAGUGGAAUGGAUUUAAUUGUCAUUUAUAUUAACGGUCUAUACAAAAUACUCUGUCAAAGUGGCAAAAAAAAUCAAAUAACAUUGUAUUACUGGAAAAUAAAACACUAAAAUAUCUAAUUUGCAUAAGUAUUCAACCCCCUGAGUCAAUACAUGUUAGAAUGUUAGAAUCACCUUUUGGCAGCAAUUACACCUGUGAGUUUCUGGGUAAGCUUCUAAGAGAUUUGCACACCUGGAUUGUACAAUAUUUGCACAUUAUUCUUUUAAAAAAUUCUUCAAACUCUGUCAAGUUGGUUAUUGAUCAUUGCUGUACAGCCAUUUGAGUCUUGCCAUAGACUUUCAAGACGAUUUAAGUCAAAACUGUAACAAAGCCACUCAGGAACAUUCAAUGUUGUUUUGGUAAGCAACUCCCAUGUAUAUUUGGCCUUGUGUUUUAGGUAAUUGUCCUGCUGAAAGGUGAAUUUGCCUCCCAGUGUCUGUUGGAAAGCAGACUGAACCAAGUUUUCCUGGAGGAUUUUGCCUGUGCUUAGCUCUAUUCCUAGUUUAUUCUGUACAGGCUACCUUCUUUCCACUUUGUCAUUUAUGUUAGUAUUGUGGAGUAACUACAAUGUUGUUGAUCCAUCCUCAGUUAUCUCUAUUCACAGCCAUUAAACUCUGUCACUGUUUUAAAAUCACCAUUGGCCUCAUGGUGAAAUCCCUGAGCAGGUUCCUUACUUUCCUUAAAGAAGGGUGACUGUACUUGUAGUGACUGGGUGUAUUGAUACACCAUCCAAAGUGUAAUAACUGCACCAUGAUCAAAGGGAUAUUCAAUGUCUGCUUUUUUACCCAUCUACCAAUAGGUGCCCUUUGCGAACCAUUGGAAAACCUCCCUGGUCUUUGUGGCUGAAUCUGUGCUUCAAAUUAAUUGCUUGACUGAGCAACCUUACAAUUAUCUGUAUGUGUGGGGUACAGAAAUCAAAUCAAAAUGUAUUUGUCAUGUGCGCUGAAUACAACAGGUGUAGUAGACCUUACAGUGAAAUGCUUACUUACAGGCUCUAACCAAUAGUGCAAAAAAGGUAUUAGGUGAACAAUAGGUAGGUUAAGAAAUAAGAGAACAGUAAAAAGACAGACUAUAUACAGUAGUGAGGCUACAUACAGGCACCGGUUAGUCAGGCUAAUUGAUGUAGAAUGUACAUGUAGAUAUGGUUAAAGUAGCUCUCGGAGAUGGGGUAGUCAUUUUAAAAAUCAUGUUGAACACUAUUGCAAGUCCAUGCAACUUAUUAUCUGACUUGUUAAGCACAUUUUUACUCCUGACCCUAUUUAGGUUUGCAAUAACGAAAGGGUUGAAUACUUAUUGGCUCGACAUUUCAGCUUUUCAUUUUCAAAUAAUUUGUAUAAAUGUAUUGAAACAUAAUUCCAAAUUGACGUUAUGGGUAUUGUGUGUAGAUCUGUGACACAAUCUCAAUUUAAUCCAUUUUAAAUUCAGGCUGUAACACAACAAAAUGUGGAGAAAAUUUGAGGGGUAUGAAUACUUUCUGAAGGCACAAUAUGUACUUUACUCGGGAGGUUUCUAAAUGUGCAAUACUACCUGUUAUGUUGGUGAAUGGUUAUGUCUUAUCUAAUGCUCCUUGAUGUCACAAUUUAUCUUGAACAUUUAGGUAUUUUUUUCUGAAAGCAACUGUUUGAUAUAAAAGAUGUUUUUCAGCAGUCUUGGCACAAAGUGUGUGUUAUUUCAGCAUGCCUCUGCUAAUGUAAAUUUGCACUAGUUUUGUGAUUUGCACUUCCAAACAGGGUUUGCUGCAUCGUAUUAUGUUCUAAAAUGGCAACAAAAAAAUAUGGGAAAAACAUGUUACUGAGUGGUAAUGCUUAUGCUUUAUCAUAUUUUCACCAAAUAGUUAAAGUAUGUAUUUUUUGAAUGAAUUCUAUUCUUUUAAAGAAUAAAUAUUUUGUACAGUG